Molecule: unclassified non-coding RNA, 418 nt
Filed under: soil metagenome
Description: partial contains 5.8S ribosomal RNA, internal transcribed spacer 2, and large subunit ribosomal RNA
Rfam family: 5.8S ribosomal RNA (bases 1-120)
Source: RNAcentral
GAUGAAGAACGCAGCGAAAUGCGAUAAGUAAUGUGAAUUGCAGAAUUCAGUGAAUCAUCGAAUCUUUGAACGCAUCUUGCGCUCCUUGGUAUUCCUUGGAGCAUGCCUGUUUGAGUAUCAUGAGCAAAUCUCAAAGUCAAUUCCUUUUGUUGAUUCAAUUGGUUUUGCUUUGGACUUGGAGGCCUUGCAGAUUUCACAGUCUGCUCCUCUUAAAUGCAUUAGCUGGAUCUCAGUAAUUAUGCAUGGUUCCACUCGGCGUGAUAAGUAUCACUCGCUGAGGACACUGUUAAAAAGGUGGCCAGGAAAAUACUGAUUGAACCGCUUCUAACGGUCUAUUAAGUUAGACAAUUACCCUUAAGUUUGAUCUCAAAUCAGGUAGGACUACCCGCUGAACUUAAGCAUAUCAAUAAGCGGAGGA